GUAUCAAUAAGCGGAGGAAAAGAAACCAACAGGGAUUGCCUCAGUAACGGCGAGUGAAGCGGCAACAGCUCAAAUUUGAAAUCUGGUCCCCCCUGUGGGGGCCCGAGUUGUAAUUUGGAGAGGAUGCUUCGGGCAAGGCUGCGGUCUAACUCGCUUGGAACAGCGGGUCAGAGAGGGUGAGAGUCCCGUCCGGG
RNAcentral lists this ribosomal RNA (194 nucleotides) under uncultured Polyblastia. RNAcentral's name for it is "partial large subunit ribosomal RNA". It matches the Rfam family "Eukaryotic large subunit ribosomal RNA", at positions 40 to 228 of the family's 3401-position model. The record is from RNAcentral. Lineage: Eukaryota; Fungi; Ascomycota; Eurotiomycetes; Verrucariales; Verrucariaceae.